Molecule: non-coding RNA, 133 nt
Organism: Brachypodium distachyon (stiff brome)
Lineage: Eukaryota; Viridiplantae; Streptophyta; Magnoliopsida; Poales; Poaceae
Source: Rfam
GGUAUAUUCCUCCGUCCAACAAAAGAUGUCUCAACUUUGACUAAAUUUGAAUGCAUCUAUACACAGUCAUGUCUAGAAACCUCCAAAUUUUGAAAAACUUGAGACAUCUUUUGUUGGACGGAGGGAGUACUAA